AGGGGUGUGGCUCAGUGGUACAGUGCUUGCCUAGCACAUGCAAGGCCCUGGGUUCUAUCCUCAGCACCACAU
Molecule: transfer RNA, 72 nt
Filed under: Marmota monax (woodchuck)
Lineage: Eukaryota; Metazoa; Chordata; Mammalia; Rodentia; Sciuridae
Description: tRNA.Ala
Source: RNAcentral